RNAcentral lists this long non-coding RNA (2302 nucleotides) under Arabidopsis thaliana (thale cress). RNAcentral describes it as "ncRNA (AT1G04247)". The record is from RNAcentral. Lineage: Eukaryota; Viridiplantae; Streptophyta; Magnoliopsida; Brassicales; Brassicaceae.
GAAAGCUAGCUUGAAAUCAGGAAUAUAAGGUUUUAUUUUCUUCACAUUAAAGACUUUUCGCGCCACUAGUGUUGCGAAAAAGAGAAGUUGUUCAGACAUUGGUAGAACUAGCGGUCCCAGAGUGGUUAUGUUCGUCUUGAGAGCUUCUCCAGCUAUAGCCAUUAGGUUUUUGGAAAGUGAGACACCGAUUUGUUUGUUGUCGUCGUUGUCUUCGCGUUGGUAAACGCAGUUAAAGGCGUUGUCGUCAGAUCCUUUGUGUGUACGGACGGUGUGGAUGAGUUGGUAUUUGGAGCGGCAGCGGUCGGAGGAGCGGUUAGAGAGGAGAACGGCGGCGCCACCCAUUCGGAAGAUGCAGUUUGAGAGAAGCAUUGAUCGGUCGUUGCCUAAAUACCAGUUUAGGGUUAUGUUCUCUGUGCUCACUACUAGUGCAUAUGAAUUUGGUUGAACCUGCAUGCAUAUUACAAUAAAAAAAAAAAAAACAGGACCCUUAACGCAUAUUUAUUAGUCCAUAUUACAAUUCAUUACAAAAUUAGGACUCUAAAAGCAUAUGCAUAUAUAUAAUUAUAAAAAUAUGAAGACAAAUGAUACUGUAUGUAAAUCGAUGAAUGUCUAUGUGUACGUAUGUCUAUUUUUUAACGUAUUUUUAAAAACUGUUUUCAGUUUUGCUAUUUUUCAUUGUUCUAAAUAAAAAUAAUUUAUGUUUGACAAUUUUAUUUUUUUUUCGCCAUUUGACAAUUUUUUUGGAAAAGUAAAUAUCGUAGAACCAAAAAAAAAAAAAAAAUCAGAUGCAUGGCACAUUGGCACCAUACGUAAGACCUUACGUGUAUUGAUUAUUUAUGAAACUUAUACUCUUUACAAACUUGUUGUUUUCGGUGAUAUUGUUCAACAACCUUUUCUCGAUUGAAUAUAACUAAACAUGACACGUCACCUAUCAAUUUUGUACAACUGUUCAUAGGUACUUACUAGAAUAUAAUUUACCUACUUACCAAAAAAAGGAAUAUAAUUUACCUUAAUCAAUGUUUAUAAUUGACUAAUCCCAACCUUAAAUUGGUCUUUCAUAUCAUUGUCAAGUUCUUCUCGUGUAAUUGUAUAGUGAAAAUGACACAUAGAUUGUAUACACACACAUUGACACAUAGUUUGUAUACCAAAUAUGUAGUUGCUAUAAAGACAAUCUAUAGUCAUUCAAAUUUUCACAACUACCACCUACCUACAAAAUAAGCCUGGCACAACCUUCAUAAAUAGUAAUAAUAGAAGCUAGAGAUUUUACCAUUUUUCAUAUAAAAUCAGUAACCAAAUUUUAUAAGAUAACGACAUGACGUGAGAAAACUAGAAAAGUCCCAACCUCCCCACCUAAAUAAAAUUUAAUUUUCUCUUUGUCACAAGAUUUUAUUUCUUAUAUCAGAAUGUUCAAUUGAAAGCGAAUCUUAGUAUCAAAAAAUAAAAAGUUGUGAAGUUGUAAUGAUGGACUAAAUUCAUUGAAUAAAUAAUUACCUGAAGAAGCUGUUUAGCGAGAUCAAUGGAGAUAAGACCAGCACUACAACCCAUUCCACCAAGGUUAUAGCUCAAAACGUUUCCUCUGAGCUUAUAUUUAUUCACGAUCAUAGCCGAUAACGAAGGCGUCGGAUUAAACAAGCUACAAUUCACGACAAGUAUCCCAAUAUCCUUAGGAUUCACUCCGGUUUUCUCAAGCACUGCGUCUAUAGCUCCAAACAUAACCGUCUCGGCUUCUUUCCUUGCUUCAGACAUACAAGGAUUAGGCGGGACACGUAAGAGAGCCUCCGGGAAGUAAGUCUUUUGUCCAAGACCGGAACGUUCGAGGAUCUUUUGUUGGAAAGCGAGGUUGUCUUCUGUGAAGAUACCGACACGCUGAGACCGGUCCAUGAACGUUUCUCGUGUGCAUAUUAGAGAAGAGUCGGGUUUGUAACAAGCGAAAUCGAGGAGAAAGAUUCUGCGAGGACGAGUUGUGAAGUAGAGGGUGGUUAGAAAGAUAAGAAGAGCGGCGAAGAGAGUGGAAGAGAGGAAGUGGAAUUUGAGAAGGUGGUUGUAUAAGAGUGUGAGAUCGGUGAGACUAAAGGAGGAGGAGGUUGCGGCGAGGAGGCCGACGGGGAGUAUGAGAAUGUAGACGGCAUUCGAGAUUAGGUAAUGGUAACCAAGUUUAACAUAUUUGAGACGUACGGAUAAGAGGAAGUUUGGGAGUUUUUUGUUUGUUACAUGAAUGGUGUUGUUCAUGUGAUCACUUUGAAUGUGAUUCUCAUUCAUGGUAGGUUUUUUGGUUUUAAAUGAUAAUCAAAAGUAGCGAGAC